GCCGGUCCUCGGUAGUGGCCCCCGGGAAAGAGAACCCCGGGUGCUUCGAUCGAAGACCGGC
Molecule: regulatory RNA element, 61 nt
Organism: Actinobacteria bacterium OV320
Lineage: Bacteria; Bacillati; Actinomycetota; Actinomycetes
Rfam family: Actino-pnp RNA
Source: Rfam